UACGGAGGGGGCGAGCGUUGUCCGAAGUUACUGGGCGUAAAGCGCGUGUAGGCGGGUUGCCAAGUCCGCUGUGAAAGCCCGAGGCUCAACCUCGGAGGGUCGGUGGAUACUGGCAGUCUUGAAGGUGCUAGGGGGAGAUGGAAUUACCGGUGUAGCGGUGAAAUGCGUAGAGAUCGGUAGGAACACCAGUGGCGAAGGCGGUCUCCUGGGGCAUUCUUGACGCUGAGGAGCGAAAGCGUGGGGAGCGAACAGG
RNAcentral lists this ribosomal RNA (253 nucleotides) under uncultured bacterium. RNAcentral describes it as "partial 16S ribosomal RNA". It matches the Rfam family "Bacterial small subunit ribosomal RNA", at positions 524 to 776 of the family's 1533-position model. The record is from RNAcentral.